GAUGAUUUGUUCAGCACUUUAUAUCUCCUUGUCCCCAUAACACAUAUAUUAAAAAGAUGAUUACAUGAAUUAAUUUUAAGCCGAAAAAGGCCAUUAGAACCAUGAGAUAGAGCCACAAACACAUUGCUAACAGAGAGCAAUGAGCCAAAACUUUCUGUGAAAGUACAGUGACUUACAACACUAAAGAACAACAGUAAUAAGAGAAAUGAAACUAGAAUCUGGGAAUUUGAAGAAAUGUGACAACUGUGUCGCCCGAGGUCCUCUAGAUGCAAAAGCUCACAUCUGACCGGGCUUGCUGGAAAAUCUGAAUUUAGUC
This 316-nucleotide long non-coding RNA is filed under the name Ricinus communis (castor bean). RNAcentral describes it as "long non-coding RNA (RCOM_LNC003650)". Lineage: Eukaryota; Viridiplantae; Streptophyta; Magnoliopsida; Malpighiales; Euphorbiaceae. The record is from RNAcentral.